UUUCAUAUGUUGAAAAUAGGUACUUUGAAUUUGAUUCAAAGUUUAAAAGGGAAUCCGGUGUAAAUCCGGAGCGGUCCCGCCACUGUAUUAGAGGAGUUAUCAUGAAAGUGUCACUGGCUAAGCUGGGAAGACCAUGAUGACGUUGAUUCUAGAGCCAGGAGACCUGCCUAUUUUAACAACACUGC
RNAcentral lists this non-coding RNA (185 nucleotides) under Halalkalibacter okhensis. Lineage: Bacteria; Bacillati; Bacillota; Bacilli; Caryophanales; Bacillaceae. The record is from RNAcentral.